GAAUAUUGGACAAUGGGGGGAACCCUGAUCCAGCCAUGCCGCGUGUGUGAUGAAGGCCUUUUGGUUGUAAAGCACUUUAAGCGAGGAGGAGGCUACUGAGAUUAAUACUCUUGGAUAGUGGCCGUUACCCGCCGCAUAAGCACCGGCCAACCCCGUGCCAGCAGCCGCGGUAAUACAGAGGGUGCAAGCGUUAAUCGGAUUUACUGGGCGUAAAGCGCGCGUAGGUGGCCAAUUAAGUCAAAUGUGAAAUCCCCGAGCUUAACUUGGGAAUUGCAUUCGAUACUGGUUGGCUAGAGUAUGGGAGAGGAUGGUAGAAUUCCAGGAGUAGCGGUGAAAUGCGUAGAGAUCUGGAGGAAUACCGAUGGCGAAGGCAGCCAUCUGGCCUAAUACUGACACUGAGGUGCGAAAGCAUGGGGAGCAAACA
This 424-nucleotide ribosomal RNA is filed under the name uncultured bacterium. RNAcentral describes it as "partial 16S ribosomal RNA". It matches the Rfam family "Bacterial small subunit ribosomal RNA", at positions 359 to 774 of the family's 1533-position model. The record is from RNAcentral.